Molecule: non-coding RNA, 118 nt
Organism: Burkholderia sp.
Lineage: Bacteria; Pseudomonadati; Pseudomonadota; Betaproteobacteria; Burkholderiales; Burkholderiaceae
Source: Rfam
GGGGGCCGGCCCCUCGGUGUCGCCGAUCAGGCGGUGAUACCAAACCACCCAGAGCUGCACUCGUUAAGAGCGGGUGUGGUGAGCGUCUGUGGAAAAGGCGGGAUGAAUCCCGUCAGGU